GACGAACGCUGGCGGCGUGCUUAACACAUGCAAGUCGAACGGAAAGGCCCUGCUUUUGUGGGGUGCUCGAGUGGCGAACGGGUGAGUAACACGUGAGUAACCUGCCCUUGACUUUGGGAUAACUUCAGGAAACUAGGGCUAAUACCGGAUAGGAGCUCCUGCUGCAUGGUGGGGGUUGGAAAGUUUCGGCGGUUGGGGAUGGACUCGCGGCUUAUCAGCUUGUUGGUGGGGUAGUGGCUUACCAAGGCUUUGACGGGUAGCCGGCCUGAGAGGGUGACCGGCCACAUUGGGACUGAGAUACGGCCCAGACUCCUACGGGAGGCAGCAGUGGGGAAUAUUGCACAAUGGGCGGAAGCCUGAUGCAGCAACGCCGCGUGCGGGAUGACGGCCUUCGGGUGGUAAACCGCUUUCGCCUGUGACGAAGCGUGAGUGACGGUAAUGGGGAAAGAAGCACCGGCUAACUACGU
RNAcentral lists this ribosomal RNA (467 nucleotides) under uncultured bacterium. RNAcentral's name for it is "partial 16S ribosomal RNA". It matches the Rfam family "Bacterial small subunit ribosomal RNA", at positions 28 to 506 of the family's 1533-position model. The record is from RNAcentral.